CCUUGGCACAUUGCCACCUUCACUGAAAUAUAGAAUAGAAGUCCCAAAGUCUCACUAACUGACCCCGCUGUACUGAAGAGGCACAGAUGUCAUGAAAAAGUAAAAGACAACUUCCCAGUGGUGAGAGAAGAGGAAGAAGAAACCAAAUGAGGACCCAAAGUUGUCAUCAACUUUGUUUCAGACUGUCAUAACAUUAUAUGCACGCAUCUCCAACAAUCGCACUGGUGAAAUAAUAGCAGCACUUAAUAAGUUUCAUGAAACUGGUUUAUGAAAUGCCAUUUAUGGGUCCAGCAUCCCAGUUCUUAUAUCUGAGCACAUAACAGAGAAAAGUAGAUGAAAUAAAUGGAAAUGGAAGUUAUAGAAGAUUAACACAUUUUUAUAGAAGAACACAUUUUUGUUCUAUACAAAGAAAAGAAAGACCCAAAAUGGACUUUUCAAGAAAAAUGGUCCAGAUGAAGCUGCAGAUCUCACAUCCCAGUUUACAGUGUUUCUUCCCAACAGAGCAGAGGCUAGUGUUGGUUUCCUUAUUUUGGCUUGGACUCCUCUCCUGUUCCAUCAGGCAAAUUAACACAAGUAAGUUAAAUCCAAGGUACUUGAAAGACAUCUGAACAGCACACAUGCACAGAGACAGGGGGAACAGUGGUGUGUGAUUGAGAG
RNAcentral lists this long non-coding RNA (657 nucleotides) under Crocodylus porosus (Australian saltwater crocodile). RNAcentral's name for it is "lncRNA (ENSCPRG00005001866.1)". Lineage: Eukaryota; Metazoa; Chordata; Crocodylia; Crocodylidae. The record is from RNAcentral.